Molecule: ribosomal RNA, 505 nt
Filed under: uncultured bacterium
Lineage: Bacteria
Description: partial 16S ribosomal RNA
Rfam family: Bacterial small subunit ribosomal RNA
Source: RNAcentral
AUUGAACGCUGGCGGCACGCCUAACACAUGCAAGUCGAGCGGUAGCAUGGUUAGUAGCAAUACUAACUGAUGACGAGCGGCGGACGGGUGAGGAACACGUAGGAACCUGCCCAAGAGAGGGGGAUAACUAAGGGAAACUUUAGCUAAUACCGCAUAAUUCUCUGAGGAGAAAAGUUGCCCGUAAGGGUAGCGCUUUUGGAGGGGCCUGCGUCCGAUUAGUUAGUUGGUGAGGUAAUGGCUCACCAAGACUGUGAUCGGUAACUGGUCUGAGAGGACGACAAGGAGCACUGGGACUGAGACACGGCCCAGACUCCUACGGGAGGCAGCAGUGGGGAAUCUUGGACAAUGGGGGCAACCCUGAUCCAGCGAUGCCGCGUGGGUGAAGAAGGCCUUCGGGUUGUAAAGCCCUUUAGGCUGGGAAGAAGUUUAUGGGAUGAAUAAUCCUGUAAAUUGACGGUACCAGCAGAAUAAGCACCGGCAAACUCUGUGCCAGCCGCCGCAGUAA